RNAcentral lists this ribosomal RNA (473 nucleotides) under uncultured Dokdonella sp. RNAcentral's name for it is "bacterial SSU rRNA". It matches the Rfam family "Bacterial small subunit ribosomal RNA", at positions 942 to 1533 of the family's 1533-position model. The record is from RNAcentral. Lineage: Bacteria; Pseudomonadati; Pseudomonadota; Gammaproteobacteria; Lysobacterales; Rhodanobacteraceae.
GGGUCUUGUACACACCGUAACGCGAAGAACCUUACCAGGUCUUGACAUCCCGCUGAUCACUCUGGAGACAGAGUUUUCCCUUCGGGGACAGCGGUGACAGGUGGUGCAUGGUUGUCGUCAGCUCGUGUCGUGAGAUGUUGGGUUAAGUCCCGCAACGAGCGCAACCCUUGUCCUUAGUUGCCAGCACGUAAUGGUGGGAACUCUAAGGAGACUGCCGGUGACGAACCGGAGGAAGGUGGGGAUGACGUCAAGUCAUCAUGGCCCUUACGGCCAGGGCUACACACGUACUACAAUGGUCGGUACAGAGGGUUGCAAUACCGCGAGGUGGAGCCAAUCCCAGAAAGCCGAUCCCAGUCCGGAUCGAAGUCUGCAACUCGACUUCGUGAAGUCGGAAUCGCUAGUAAUCGCAGAUCAGCUAUGCUGCGGUGAAUACGUUCCCGGGUCUUGUACACACCGGUAAGGUUCUUCGCGUU